Molecule: long non-coding RNA, 2542 nt
Filed under: Homo sapiens (human)
Lineage: Eukaryota; Metazoa; Chordata; Mammalia; Primates; Hominidae
Description: long non-coding RNA NONHSAT077414.2
Source: RNAcentral
GGCCUGGGAGGAGUUUCAUGGCCUGGUGAACAGCAGCGGCCGCUGAUCGGACGCUCCCCCUCUGUCUCUCACACUCAGGGGACAAUUCAAGCUUUCGAAAUACAAAAAUCACAUUGUGAGAGUACACAAGCUGGCAAUAAUCCUUUUCUGUAUGUGUGUGUUUGUCCGAAAUGGAUGGGAGGCCUCCAGCCAGUCCUUCCAUUGCUCACUGAAGGGACGUCCCUGAGCCGUGCGCUCUCCUUUUGCACUCAUUCCUGGAGGACGGAUUCCGCUAGACACCCUCCAGCAUCGCUGACUUUAUAAAGCGGAAAAACGGAAAACGUGACUUUGUAAUAGACAAACAUUGUUUUUUAAUGGGGUUCCAUGGGGGGGCGUUCAGCCUUUCUGUUUGCUGUGUGCUGUCCAGAUGCCUCUUGGGCGUCCUGUUGUUCUCUUCCCGUGUUGUACGAAGGGUACCGUGGCCACGUGUACAUGCCAGAGCUGUUGAUGAGAGUUACCAGUAUUAUGAAUGUCUGUGCAUCCAGGAAAAGUGUUCUGUUGGAGAGUCCCAAAAUAGCUGUAAAUGCUCUCUUCUAGCUCUGCCAUUAAAUUAUUGGGACAUUUUGUUUCUUUCUCUCCCCUCCUCCAAGCCCACCACUUUCUGAAGCUGUGUUACUGAUGUGAUGACUGUCCAGGAUUUUGUAUCAUCCCCUGCCUUAUGCCCUCCGGUCUCCUCUCCUGUGGGACUCUCUCCUUCUUAGGCACAGCUGCACUUAGAAUUGUAAUCCAGUGGCUCUCACUGGUUUCACUGAGGCAGCUUAGAGGGAAUGCCUUAGUAAACUGAACUGGAGCAGAAUCUAGUUUGAUUAGGAGCUAGAUUAUAAUCUAGGUUCCAAGUACAGAAUUUGGAGCUAAGGACUGUGACUGAAAUCAUUUUCCCAUAUGAGCAGACCCUGUGUGUCAGGCCUGUUUCCCAUAUGAGCAGAGCCUGUGUGCAAGUCUGUUUCUGGCAUGUCCCUCAUUGAGGAAGGGAAGCAAAAGCUGGUUAUUGCCAGGCCUAUUAACACUUAAUAUGCAAAUUCUAUCAUCCUGAAACUGGGGCAUCUGAGGAAAAGGUGACCUUGCUGGAUGGCUUUAUUUGCAUGGCUCUGCCUGUCUGCAGUGGUUGAGUCCUCAUCACCUGGUAUGUGUAUGAGCAAAUGUGUGCUGAUUGUGAUGCCCAGGCAGAAACCUCUUGAAGACUGCUGCAGGCAUGCUUUAAAAAUGACCAGUCACUCAUCAGAGAAGCUGGGUGAUCUGACUCCAGAAGGACUGAAGUCAGAGAAGUCACAAGAGCACCUAGGAUUCAAAUAAAUAGCGUCAGAGUCCUAUAGCAACCUCCAAGUAGCACCGUCUUACUUGGCUCUUGUGAGCAAAGACUGCAGUACCUUAAAUUAAGGCCUCUCUUUAAAACAUAUGUGGAAGACUAGGGGAUCCUUGGCCACCUGGUCUCAGAGAAAUCAUAUGAGAGUAACAGGCAUUUCCUUAUUGUAUUUGUACUACACUCUUCCUACUUUUCCAUUCCUGAACACCCUCUAAUUACCACUGUUUUGGGGAUGCUUUUUUUCUGAAAGAACGGGGAGUACAGGGGCCAAAAGGGAGGUGCUUCUAUUACAGGGCAAGUUAGAUCAGAUAAGAAGAUCUAGCAGUGAUUUAAACUCCAGGAAUAUGAAGAGUGCAUUCUGGUGUCUUGUUGUUGUUGUUCAGAGUUUUGAAUCUUACGUUUUCUAGAGCUGCUCAUGUUUUCCCUUCCUUUUUGUCGUUGUAGUAUUUGACAGUUGUCUUUUCCAUCAAAAACAUACUGGCCCUAGGCUGGUUAGAGCAAGGGGUUAUGCCUGUUAGGCAGCAUCUUACGCCCAGUGUUCUCCCAGAUAUUCUGCCUAACAGGUUUAAGUAGGAGAUUAAAUAGUCAGUUUAUCUAAACCCUCUAUUUUUCCAAACUAGCUUGAGAGGUCUUUUCAUCUAUUUUUACUCCAUGGGCCUCUGAUAUGCUGAGAUGUGGCACGGUUAUGAUUAUGGUAUCACCGUUACAGAGGCAAAGGGAUAAAGGUCUACCAGGGCCAACGUAACCAGAAUGUGAGGAGAGUGAAGAGUCGGUCUCCGCUUUGCACAGUACCAGAAUGUGAGGUUGCCACUGGAGAGUGGAGAGUCGGUCUCCACUUUGCACAGUUGGAGCUGUUCUCCUCUAACUCCUUUGCUGGGUUUUCUGUUUGAAAUUGGCCCCUACUCCUCUCCAGCCCUUUACUGGGUUUUCUGUUUGAAAUUGGCCCCUACUCCUCUCCAGUGUCUGCUUUUUGAAUCCUUCUGUUCGUGUGUGUGUGUGUGUGUGUGUGUGUUCCCUAUGAUACUGGCAGUGGCAAUAAUUUUCCACCCAGAGAGAAGCUUGUGGUCCACAAUGCUCGAAGAAUGAAUUUCCAAGUAUUUGCCAGUGGAAACGGAGCAGAGGCUAUGACAAGAGUGAUUUAGUGUUGCACUUUCAGAGCAAUUAUCUACUGCAGUAAUAAAUUGAAAAUAUCAGCAAGAA